GAUGAACGCUGGCGGCGUGCCUAACACAUGCAAGUCGAACGGAGUCGUUUUGGAAAUCUCUUCGGAGAUGGAAUUCUCGACUUAGUGGCGGACGGGUGAGUAACGCGUGAGCAAUCUGCCUUUAAGAGGGGGAUAACAGUCGGAAACGGCUGCUAAUACCGCAUAAAGCAUUAAAUUCGCAUGUUUUUGAUGCCAAAGGAGCAAUCCGCUUUUAGAUGAGCUCGCGUCUGAUUAGCUAGUUGGCGGGGUAACGGCCCACCAAGGCGACGAUCAGUAGCCGGACUGAGAGGUUGAACGGCCACAUGGGGACUGAGACACGGCCCAGACUCCUACGGGAGGAAGCAGUGGGGAAUAUUGCGCAAGGGGGGAAACCCUGACGCAGCAACGCCGCGUGAUUGAAGAAGGCCUUCGGGUUGUAAAGAUCUUUAAUCAGGGACGAAACAAAUGACGGUACCUGAAGAAUAAGCACCGGCUAACUACGUG
RNAcentral lists this ribosomal RNA (483 nucleotides) under uncultured bacterium. RNAcentral's name for it is "partial 16S ribosomal RNA". It matches the Rfam family "Bacterial small subunit ribosomal RNA", at positions 28 to 507 of the family's 1533-position model. The record is from RNAcentral.